UACGGGGGGGGCAAGCGUUGUUCGGAAUUACUGGGCGUAAAGGGCUCGUAGGUGGCCAACUAAGUCAGACGUGAAAUCCCUCAGCUUAACUGGGGAACUGCGUCUGAUACUGGAUGGCUUGAGAUUGGGAGAGGGAUGCGGAAUUCCAGGUGUAGCGGUGAAAUGCGUAGAUAUCUGGAAGAACACCAAAGGCGAAGGCAGCGUCCUGGGAAGUUACUGACGCUCAGGUGCGAAAGCUAGGGGAGCGAACGGG
RNAcentral lists this ribosomal RNA (253 nucleotides) under uncultured bacterium. RNAcentral describes it as "partial 16S ribosomal RNA". It matches the Rfam family "Bacterial small subunit ribosomal RNA", at positions 524 to 776 of the family's 1533-position model. The record is from RNAcentral.